Molecule: long non-coding RNA, 3513 nt
Organism: Sapajus apella (tufted capuchin)
Lineage: Eukaryota; Metazoa; Chordata; Mammalia; Primates; Cebidae
Exons: 2
Source: RefSeq, a predicted model, not a curated record
AAUGCAGGCUCCAUCACGCUUUGCCUCUCUGGCCAAUGCCUACUCCCUCCCCCCGGCAUGAAGCCCAUGCAAUUUUCACCUCAGUCAUACUAAGCAAUGUGUGGUUUUCCAAACACUGAGCUCUCUCUUGCCUUGGGGCCUUUGUCUAUGCUGUCCUCGCCUCCUCCCUCCCCUUCAAACUCCUCCUUACCUUUUAAGUCUCCGCUCUAGAACCAUCUCCUCUCAGGGAAGGAUUCUCAGUCUCCCAGGUGGACCAGGUACCUCACUUGUUGCCCCAUUGGAACUUCUGUGUUUCCACCUAGGGUAUCUCAAGGCAAGUCAGGAUCACUGGGCUUCCUGACGGCCUCUCCAGUUGUAGGUCAAGUCCUUGUAGUCAGGGCCAUAUUUUUUUGAUUACUGCACCCUAAUACCUAACACAGGACUGACUCCCAAAUAGGCGAUUUAAAUGUCACAGGGUUGAGACGAGAGUGAGGUGAGUGAGCCACCCAGGGUGCAGAAAUUUAAGGAGAUGCUCUCAAGGUUGUACAAGGCAGGCUGGCAUGAAUUGUUAUAAGGGGAUUUUCACCCCUGCUCUUUUGCUUGUCAGGUCACAGCAAGUCCUGGGUGGCUGAAAGGGCAUCAGCGAUUUGAGAGGCUGUGCUUUUCUGGAAGACCUCGACCUCCAGCUUCAUGCAAAGUGGAAAAGCAUCUUCCCUUUCACCAGAAUUUAUAUGGAAAUUGCCAACUUCUUGCAUGUAGGGUAAGAAAGGGAAGAUGUAUCCCUACUUAAAUGCACUAUCAUGAACUCCUGAGCUGAUGGCUUCUACACUUAGCUAACAUGGACUCUGAAUAUUGUCUUUGUCUACCAUGGAAGACAUUUCUACCAUAGGUAUUGCUAUAUUCAAGAGCUAUCCACCUAGCGUUCUGUAAUAUGAAAAGAUAGUUUCUAAAAGGGACCGUUAACAGCCUCUUGAAAGGAGAGGAAAAUACCACCAAAACUCUGAGGCACUACCAGGGACAUCACAUAAAACCACUCAGAUUCCUUACCAUACAUCUCCAGGGAGCACCUUCCUAUAGGUUGCAGUGUCAAUUGCGCCCCUGGAUUUGUGCAAUGUGGUGGCCAUUUCCCCAUGAUCCCUCAGCUAUACAUGAACUCAGCCCAGCUUCCCUGGCGCUAAACUCAAAACACUCAAAAACAUCCUUAUCAGCAUCCACAGUGAAUGAGAAAGGGGAACAAACUCAGUGCUGGUGAGCUGGCUUCAGGCACCACCAAAUGGUGAGCUUCUCUCACUUUCCAACUCGAUGACCUUAAGCCAAAUCUCCUUAAUUUUCUCUUCUAUGAAUGUGAGGCUCCAUGUUGGGCUCACAAAAGCACAUUCUCCUGGGAGGUACCUGCAGAGGUAAGGAUGGGCAGCCCCUCUAAAGUAGGCUAGGUGGAGGGAAACUCUUGCCUCACGGGAGGCAGAAGGAAAUUAUGAAGGCUAACAAAUGCAUCAGAGAACCUGGGCACCUUAGGUUCAUUUACUCCAAUCUGUUCAGUUUUCAGACACAGGAACUGGAUGGAGAAAUGAAGAGAGUCCUGCCCAAUAUCAUUGAAUGAAUUAGCAGCAAAGAAGGGCCCUAUUUUGCCAGGCCAGGGCUUAUUCAGACAUGCAGCUGCUUUAGUGAUAAAGUGGGUCUGGCUGACAGCUUUUGUAGAUCUUUAUUCAGAAUCAGCUGGAAAAAUUAGUCCCUGCUCGUUGAAGAUCCUCCCAUUCCCAGGGUGAAGACUCCCUCCUUCUUAAUAGAGGCCAAGAGACAAGGAAUGAAGCACCCUGUGUUGGCAUCUACCUGAACUACUGGCAUAGAGCCCAGGAAGAGAUGCAUACCUUCUGGAGCCAAGCUUCCCUAAGUGAGCUCCAGGGGCCAAUUGCACUGGAAACUCCCUGGGGCUUAUUAAGAUCUGGAUUUCACAGAUGCACCCCAGAUCUACUAAAUUAGAGCCUAGGGGUGGGAGGAUACCAUUAGCAAGCACCACAUGGGAUUUUGACACACAAUAAAAUUUGAGAACCAACACCCAGACAUAGUGGUAAGAAGGAACAUAAUGGCUGUCAGAUAACUACUAAAGCACUGUGCUAGGCACCAGAUAGAUAGACAGACAGACAGAUAGAUAGACAUCCUUAGAAGUGAUAGGAAAGGCAGAAACAAGACAUUAUUUCUUUGCCACACUUAGAGAAGCUCUGCACCAGAGGAUAUGCCUCUCCUCCUUGGUUCUAUGCCAGCAAUUCAGGUAGAUGCCAUCAGAUGGUGCUGGAAAGAGCUUUCCCCAGGGACAGGAAAUUAGGACAAUGUUCUUGGGACCUUGGGUCAUUGGAUAGUGCUGAGAAUGGCAUCUAGGACCCACUACCUGAAAAUCCUUCUCAAAGGGAGGGAAUGCAUCCUCAAACUUUCACCUGAGUUCCUACUCUCAGCCUUUAAGGCUCUGCCCAGAAUUUCACUAAUUAGAAUUUGCUGUAUCUUUUCCCACCUAAAUUUUACUUUCUCUUCUCAAAACUUUUUGUGUCUUAACACUCCUGCUACAUUGUUGGCUCUGCCACUUACUGGUAAUAUGACCUCUGAUAACUUGUUUAUAAGCCUCAGUAUUUUUAUAUAUAAAUUGGAGAUAAUAGCUUCAGAGUAGAAGCAAGUAUUAGAGAUACUGUAAGAGUGCAAUAAAUGUUCAGUCUCUGCCCUACUUAACCCCACUUUCAGAAGCCUUUGUUUAAGAAACCCCAGUGGCUUUCUGGUCUCAUUUGCUUCUCCACGACCCAAACUCUCUCAAUUUAAGUUCUCAUCACACCUCAUUCAUGUCUGCCUCUGGGCCUUUCCUCAUGCUGUAUCUUCUACCUAGGAUGCCCUCAUACUCUCAUUCACCAAUACAAAUCCCAGCAUGCUUAAAGGUCUUUCUCAGGUCCUUCCUGCUGCCUUAGAGUGCCUUCUCAAAGUCCAGGCCAACAGACUCUUCUGUCCCUUCUGCUCCUUCAGGCACUCUCCCUGCAUUCUCCACUCUACCUCCGGGGGAUGACAACAUUAGUGUCAUGGAAGUUGGUGAUCUCUAGAUACUGGUAUGUUAUGUACAGAAUAUUUCCCUUUUUUGAGGACCAGCAUCAAGCUACCACCUUUUAUUUUGCCAGGUGAGAAUAUAUUAUUAAAUCUUGUCUUCUAGUGUUACCCUCAUAUCACAAAACAAUGACAUUUUAACAAAAUAAAAGUUAUGAGGGAAAAAAAAUCUCAUACAAAAGCAUUGUCCUUUAAAUGGAAUAAACUCCACUUCAUAAAAUGCUCACUGCAUUGCCUGCUUUUUGCUCCUUUUGCCUUGGACUGAUAAGAAUACUAUCAAAGGCCAGCUUCUGCAAAAAUGCGGGGGAGUCCCCAGUCCACUCAAUCACCUGUCCCUGACCCUGGGCAACAUACAACAUCCCCAACAGCUUUCACUUACUGAACAGUUGCCAUGUGCUAGAUCCUGUGCUAGGUACUUCAUGCAUUAGCUCACUAAAUCCUUUUGCACAACCCCUU